This 254-nucleotide ribosomal RNA is filed under the name uncultured bacterium. RNAcentral's name for it is "partial 16S ribosomal RNA". It matches the Rfam family "Bacterial small subunit ribosomal RNA", at positions 524 to 776 of the family's 1533-position model. The record is from RNAcentral.
UACGGAGGGGGCUAGCGUUGUUCGGAAUUACUGGGCGUAAAGGGCGCGUAGGCGGUCACGACAAGUCAGUUGUGAAAUCUCCGGGCUUAACUCGGAACGGUCAACUGAUACUGUCGGACUAGAGUGCAGAAGGGGCAACUGGAAUUCUCGGUGUAGCGGUGAAAUGCGUAGAUAUCGAGAGGAACACCUGCGGCGAAGGCGGGUUGCUGGGCUGACACUGACGCUGAGGCGCGAAAGCUAGGGGAGCGAACGGG